AUUCAGCUGACGAGUCUCAAACGGGACGAAACGCGCGUCCUGGAU
This 45-nucleotide non-coding RNA is filed under the name Schistosoma mansoni. The record is from RNAcentral. Lineage: Eukaryota; Metazoa; Platyhelminthes; Trematoda; Strigeidida; Schistosomatidae.